ACUGGGCGGCGGACGGGUGAGUAACGCGUGGGUAACCUGCCUCAUACAGGGGGAUAACAGUUGGAAACGGCUGCUAAUACCGCAUAAGCGCACAGUACCGCAUGGUACGGUGUGAAAAACUCCGGUGGUAUGAGAUGGACCCGCGUCUGAUUAGGUAGUUGGUGGGGUAACGGCCUACCAAGCCGACGAUCAGUAGCCGACCUGAGAGGGUGACCGGCCACAUUGGGACUGAGACACGGCCCAA
RNAcentral lists this ribosomal RNA (244 nucleotides) under uncultured bacterium. RNAcentral's name for it is "partial 16S ribosomal RNA". It matches the Rfam family "Bacterial small subunit ribosomal RNA", at positions 90 to 334 of the family's 1533-position model. The record is from RNAcentral.